GAUGAACGCUGGCGGCGUGCCUAAUACAUGCAAGUCGAGCGAACAGACGAGGAGCUUGCUCCUCUGACGUUAGCGGCGGACGGGUGAGUAACACGUGGAUAACCUACCUAUAAGACUGGGAUAACUUCGGGAAACCGGAGCUAAUACCGGAUAAUAUAUUGAACCGCAUGGUUCAAUAGUGAAAGACGGUUUUGCUGUCACUUAUAGAUGGAUCCGCGCCGCAUUAGCUAGUUGGUAAGGUAACGGCUUACCAAGGCAACGAUGCGUAGCCGACCUGAGAGGGGGGACGGCCCCAUGGGAACGGGACACGGGACCAAGCUCCGCAGGGGGGAGACAGAAGGGAAUUUUCGCCAAAGGGGGAAAGCUUAGCGGGGGGAGCCGGGGGGGGGUAGAAGGGUUUUGGGGCGUGAAAAACGUUUUGUUGGGGAAAAACAAAGUGUGAAGGAAAAGAUCACCGAGUGACGGUAACUAACCAGAAAGGCACGGCUAACUACGUG
Molecule: ribosomal RNA, 497 nt
Filed under: uncultured bacterium
Lineage: Bacteria
Description: partial 16S ribosomal RNA
Rfam family: Bacterial small subunit ribosomal RNA
Source: RNAcentral